RNAcentral lists this ribosomal RNA (428 nucleotides) under Verrucomicrobiota bacterium. RNAcentral describes it as "Verrucomicrobia bacterium partial 16S ribosomal RNA". It matches the Rfam family "Bacterial small subunit ribosomal RNA", at positions 355 to 776 of the family's 1533-position model. RNAcentral also lists the same sequence under 1 other name. The record is from RNAcentral. Lineage: Bacteria; Pseudomonadati; Verrucomicrobiota.
UAGGGAAUAUUCCACAAUGAGCGAAAGCUUGAUGGAGCGACACAGCGUGCACGAUGAAGGUCUUCGGAUUGUAAAGUGCUGUUAUAAGGGAAGAACAUUUGCAAUAGGAAAUGAUUGCAGACUGACGGUACCUUGUCAGAAAGCGAUGGCUAACUAUGUGCCAGCAGCCGCGGUAAUACAUAGGUCGCAAGCGUUAUCCGGAAUUAUUGGGCGUAAAGCGUUCGUAGGCUGUUUGUUAAGUCUGGAGUUAAAUCCCGGGGCUCAACCCCGGCUCGCUUUGGAUACUAGCAAACUAGAGUUAGAUAGAGGUAAGCGGAAUUCCAUGUGAAGCGGUGAAAUGCGUAGAUAUAUGGAAGAACACCAAAGGCGAAGGCAGCUUACUGGGUCUAUACUGACGCUGAGGGACGAAAGCGUGGGGAGCAAACAGG